Molecule: ribosomal RNA, 562 nt
Filed under: uncultured archaeon
Lineage: Archaea
Description: bacterial SSU rRNA
Rfam family: Archaeal small subunit ribosomal RNA
Source: RNAcentral
CGGGGUGCAGCAGGCGCGAAAACUUUACAAUGCCGGCAACGGCGAUAAGGGAACCUCGAGUGCCAGGUUACAAAUCUGGCUGUCGUGAUGCCUAAAAAGCAUUGCAUAGCAAGGGCCGGGCAAGACCGGUGCCAGCCGCCGCGGUAACACCGGCGGCUCGAGUGGUAACCGUUAUUAUUGGGUCUAAAGGGUCUGUAGCCGGCCGGAUAAGUCUCUUGGGAAAUCUGGCAGCUUAACUGUCAGGCUUUCAGGAGAUACUGUCUGGCUCGAGGCCGGGAGAGGUGAGAGGUACUUCAGGGGUAGGGGUGAAAUCUUGUAAUCCUUGAAGGACCACCAGUGGCGAAGGCGUCUCACCAGAACGGACCUGACGGCAAGGGACGAAAGCUAGGGGCACGAACCGGAUUAGAUACCCGGGUAGUCCUAGCCGUAAACGAUACUCGCUAGGUGUCGGCCACGGUGCGACCGUGGUCGGUGCCGUAGGGAAGCCGUGAAGCGAGCCACCUGGGAAGUACGGCCGCAAGGCUGAAACUUAAAGGAAUUGGCGGGGGAGCACAAGGGCGAA